This 498-nucleotide ribosomal RNA is filed under the name uncultured bacterium. RNAcentral describes it as "partial 16S ribosomal RNA". It matches the Rfam family "Bacterial small subunit ribosomal RNA", at positions 28 to 507 of the family's 1533-position model. The record is from RNAcentral.
GACGAACGCUGGCGGCGUGCCUAAUACAUGCAAGUCGAACGAGAGCGACCGGUGCUUGCACUGGUCAAUCUAGUGGCGAACGGGUGAGUAACACGUGGGUAACCUGCCCAUCAGAGGGGGAUAACAUCCGGAAACGGAUGCUAAAACCGCAUAGGUCUUCGAACCGCAUGGUUUGAAGAGGAAAAGAGGCGCAAGCUUCUGCUGAUGGAUGGACCCGCGGUGCAUUAGCUAGUUGGUGAGGUAACGGCUCACCAAGGCCGGGAUGCAUAGCCGACCUGGGAGAGUGAUCGGCGACAUGAGGACUGAGACGCGGCCCAAACUCCUGCGGGAGGCAGCAGUAGGGAAUCUUCCGCAAUGGACGCGAGUCUGACGGAGCAACGCCGCGUGAGUGAAGAAGGUUUUCGGAUCGGAAAGCUCUGUUGUUGGAGAAGAACAAGUGCUAGAGUAACUGUUAGCGCCUUGACGGUAUCUAACCAGAAAGCAACGGCUAACUACGUG